ACCUGGUUGAUCCUGCCAGGAAGUCAUAUGUUUGUUUUUAAGAAUAAGCCAUGUAUGUUUAAGUAUUAGUUUUUAUAUGAUGAAACUGCGAAUAGCUUAUUAAAACAGUUAUAGUUUAUUUGAUAGAUUAUUAAAAUUAUUAUUAAAUGGAUAACAACAGUAAUUCUGAGGCUAAUACAUGAAUAAUUUUUUUAAUAAAAAGGUAUAUUUGAAAAUAAGAGAAGUAAUGUAUGUUUUAACAUAAGUAAAUGUUGAAUUAAUUUAAUUAAAUGAAUUAUAAAUAUAUUAAUGAAUCAAUUAUGUUUUUGAUCUAUCAGCUUUAAUAGUAGGGCAUUGUCUUAAUAUAGCAAUAACGGGUAACGGGGGGAUUAGGGUUUGGUUUUGGAGAGGGAGCUUGAGAAAUAGCUUGCUACAUCUAAGGUAAGGCAGCAGGCGCGUAAAUUAUCCAAUUUUAAUAAAAAGAGGUAGUGAUUAAGGAAUAACAGAGAUACAACAAGAUACAUAAUUGUUUUGUAAUUGGAGAUGAGCAGUCAUAUAAAGAAUUAAUUAAAUUUGAAUUGGAGGGCAAGUCUGGUGCCAGCAGCCGCGGUAAUUCCAGCUUCGAUAAUAUAUAUAUUAAUAUUGUUGCAGUUAAAAAGCUCGUAGUUGCAGUCUUAUUUAUAAUAAAAUAAUUAUUUCUUUUGUAUGAAAAUGUUGUUUUAAAAUUUUUAUUUUUCUUUAAAAAAGUAUAUGUGUGUUUGUAUAGUGAUWDUUUAAUAUUAUUUUGAGAAAAUUAAGAGUGAUAUUAGCAUGAUUUUUCAAUUGAAUAAUCAAUUGAAUAAUUUAGUAUGGAAUAUUAAUUUUAAUAAAAUUUAUUUUUGUUGGUUUUAAAAUAUUGAUUAAUAGUUUCUAAGAAUAUUUGGGGGUAUUUGUAUUUAACUGNCAAGAGGUGAAAUUCUUAGAUUUGUUGCAGAGAAUUUAUUGGUGAAAGCAUUUAUCAAAAGUAUUUUUACUAAUUAAGAACAAAAGUUGGGGGAUCGAAGAUGAUCAGAUACCGUCGUAGUCUUAAUUAUAAACUAUGCCGACUCAAGAUUAGAUGUGUUUAAUUAGAUGUAAUAUUUAGUAUUUUUUGAGAAAUCGAAGUUUUUAGGUUUUGGGGGGAGUAUGGUCGCAAGGUUGAAACUUAAAGGAAUUGACGGAAAGGCACUACUAGAAGUGGAGUAUGCGGUUUAAUUUGACUCAACACGGGAAAUCUUAUUAGGCUUAGACAUAGGAAGGAUUAACAGAUUAAUAGAUUUUUUUUGAUUUUAUGGGUGGUGGUGCAUGGCCGUUCUUAGUUGGUGGAGUGAUUUGUUUGGUUAAUUCCGAUAACGAACGAGACAUUAAUAUACUAAAUAGAGAAAUAAUAUUUGAUGUUUUACUUAAUGUGUUUUAGAGGGACUUUAUAUAUUUAAUUUAAGGAAGUUUAAAGUAAUAACAGGUCUGGAAUGCCUUUAGAUGUUCUUGGCUACACGCGUGUUACAUUGAUGUGAUUAAUUAGUUUACAACCUUAGUUGUUAAAUUAUGGUAAUCUUAUAAUGUACAUUGUAAUUGGGAUAGUGUAUUGUAAUUAUUAAUCUUAAACGAGGAAUUCCUAGUAAAUAUAAAUCAUAAACUUGUGUUAACUAUGUCCCUGCCUUUUGUACACACCGCCUGUCGCUCCUACCGAUUGAAUGAUCCGGUGAAUUAAUUAGAAUGUGUUUGAAUGUAUUUUAUAAUUAUAUUUUAUAUAUGUCAAAAUUUGUAAACCUUAUUAUUUAGAGGAAGGAGAAGUUCGUAACAAGGUUUCCGUAGGUGAACCACGCGGAA
This 1827-nucleotide ribosomal RNA is filed under the name Aggregata eberthi. Its description in RNAcentral is "SSU rRNA". It matches the Rfam family "Eukaryotic small subunit ribosomal RNA". Lineage: Eukaryota; Apicomplexa; Marosporida; Aggregatidae. The record is from RNAcentral.